RNAcentral lists this ribosomal RNA (464 nucleotides) under uncultured bacterium. RNAcentral describes it as "partial 16S ribosomal RNA". It matches the Rfam family "Bacterial small subunit ribosomal RNA", at positions 29 to 507 of the family's 1533-position model. The record is from RNAcentral.
ACGAACGCUGGCGGCGUGCUUAACACAUGCAAGUCGAACGGAAAGGCCCCAGCUUGCUGGGGUACUCGAGUGGCGAACGGGUGAGUAACACGUGGGUGAUCUGCCCUGCACUCUGGGAUAAGCCUGGGAAACUGGGUCUAAUACCGGAUAGGACCGUGCUUUAGUGUGUGCGGUGGAAAGUUUUUCGGUGCAGGAUGAGCCCGCGGCCUAUCAGCUUGUUGGUGGGGUAAUGGCCUACCAAGGCGGCGACGGGUAGCCGGCCUGAGAGGGUGUACGGCCACAUUGGGACUGAGACACGGCCCAGACUCCUACGGGAGGCAGCAGUGGGGAAUAUUGCACAAUGGGCGCAAGCCUGAUGCAGCGACGCCGCGUGGGGGAUGACGGCCUUCGGGUUGUAAACCCCUUUCGGCAGGGACGAAGCUUUUGUGACGGUACCUGCAGAAGAAGCACCGGCUAACUACGUG